CAGUGUGGAUGACCUGUAGCUGUUU
This 25-nucleotide non-coding RNA is filed under the name Mus musculus (house mouse). The record is from RNAcentral. Lineage: Eukaryota; Metazoa; Chordata; Mammalia; Rodentia; Muridae.